Zingiber officinale is the source of this 1314-nucleotide long non-coding RNA. RefSeq lists it as uncharacterized. The record is from RefSeq and is a predicted model, not a curated record. The transcript is spliced from 3 exons. NCBI's taxonomy places the organism in Eukaryota, Viridiplantae, Streptophyta, Magnoliopsida, Zingiberales, Zingiberaceae.
AUUAUAAGAACGGGAGGUUAUGGUUUCUCCCAAAUAUGUUAUCGACCCGAAGAAAGGUGGAGAGAAGGCAGGCGAUAGAACAGAUCCAUUUAGGUGGAUGAUUGAUGGUUUCUCAACCAUUGCAAAUCGAGGUGCUGAGGCGUAUUACUCCGGUACUUUCACAGCCUGUGGUUUUACCUGGGAGUUGCUACUGGAAUCAGUUUUAGAAGAAGAUGGUGAGAAAUAUGUCGGUCUUUACCUCUCACAUGAUAAUGCAGCUUCAAAAAAUUCAGUGAUCAAAGCAAUCUAUAAGCUCUUCAUAUAUGAUCAAUUACAUGCGGAGCACAUACAAAAGGAAGGUCACUAAACUUUCAAAGUUCCAGAAUAACUCAUCUUAAUACAGGAAGUUGCUCUUACCUGGAUUUGUUGGUGCAGUUAAUUAUAAUGUUCUCUUAACUUUUUCAUUUAGGCGAAGACUAUUUCCAUAGCGAAUCCCUUGAUGGUUUUUGUUGUAAGGUUGCAUUGAACAAGUUCAACAAUUCAAAAUCUGGUUUACUUGUCAACGAUUGUUGCAUCUUUGGAGCUGAAGUCUUGGAGGCUUAUGCAUGCAAAUUAGACAAAGAAGGAAUCAGUAAAUUCUGGUCCCUAAACAAAGACGUAACUCCUCGAAUAUAUACUUGGGUAAUCAAGAAUGUUUCCAAAUCGAAGGUUGAACUAAAGUCUGAAGUUUUUGCGUCAGGCGGCUACAACUGGAGUAUCUCGCUCUAUCCAAACUUAGACACAUACAAAGACUCCGUUGCUGUUUUCUUGAGGAUGGACUAUUCUACUGUUCUUGCUUCCAAGGCAAGUGUCUAUGUGGAUUUUAGCCUUUGCUUGUUGGAUCAACUCAAUGCCAAGAACUUGAAGUUUUCAUGUUUAGACAAUUUGAUUUCUCUGCUUUCUUUUCUUUAACUUGAAAUAAUCAUAUGAUCAUAUUUUCUUAUUUAUUUUUGUAGUGAAAUACUUGUUCUCGUCAGAGAAUUACAGUUGGGGAUUUCCCAAGUUCCUAAGCUGGAAAGAAGUACAAGAUCCAUCUAGAGGAUUUCUGCUCAACGAUACAUGCAUCGUUGAAGCAUCUAUUGUGGUUCUUGGAGUAGACACCAUUGCUUGAACAAUAACCAAGAGAAUCCAUUGCGACUUAUCCUUGUGAUAAAUAUAUUUCUUUGUUCUUUCUUUGUAUGUCUCAAAAAACAUUGACAAGUUGAUAAAUGCAUGGGAACAGCAUGUGAUUGUAUAAAAUUAAGUAAUAUACCAUAAAAUAUCUUGAUGUUAAAUAUAUUUUUUCCAAUUAUGCAA